GAAUGGCCUGUCCAGAAGACAGCCAAAUACAUCCUUCAAACAGACUUCACUGCAGGAGACAGAGUGGAUUCAUCCUGUAUUCUCCAUGUAGACUUCCAUCUUCAUGAGUACUCCAAGAAGAUGGUUCAGUUGACUAUUGCAAAGGCAUCCCCCUCUCCAAUGAUGCAAUACUGAACAUGUAAAAAGGUCAAAUUAAGAAGGCAACCAUGUAUUUUUGGAGCUGGUAAACAAAUAAUGGAACCAAGAUGUCAUGAGGCUUCAACUGUGAGUGAAGUUUUGCCAAGGAAACAACAUCAGUCAACAUUAAAAGGCAAGCGACCCUUAACAAUGAGAUAGUAUCAGCCUUCUGUCUUGACAAAGGGACUGCUGUACACAGCACCACUGGGUUGAACUUGACAAAAAGAUGCCAGUGUGACACCCACGCCUCUGCUAUACAGUGAUUUGGGUGGAUGGCAAAAGUUUCAGAGGCCUGGCAUACACAACCAUCCUUCCAGGCUCCCAGUUCAACAUCUUCAAAUACAAGAGAAUAUACUUCUACACAUGUAUUCCCAGGCCUCCAUGGUCAAGUUAACUUCUAGAUAUAUUACUGCCCAUGUGUACAUACAUGCAUAUUAGCAUAUUGGUAUCAUCUGGGCCCUUAUAUAUUUGUUUACUAUAAUUUCAGUGAAAGUUUAAAAUGGUGUAUUUAUAGUAUAAAUUUUUAUUUACCACAUGCUUUUUAAUUAACAGAUUAAAAAAUAUAAUG
This is a long non-coding RNA of Homo sapiens (human), 745 nucleotides long. Ensembl annotates it as ENTPD1 antisense RNA 1. Its record names the gene ENTPD1-AS1. Lineage: Eukaryota; Metazoa; Chordata; Mammalia; Primates; Hominidae. The record is from Ensembl.